UCUAAGCAGUAAGGCUGAGUAUUAGGCAAAUCCGGUACUCGUUAAGGCUGAGCUGUGAUGGGGAGAAGACAUUGUGUCUUCGAGUCGUUGAUUUCACACUGCCGAGAAAAGCCUCUAGAUAGAAAAUAGGUGCCCGUACCGCAAACCGACACAGGUAGUCAAGAUGAGAAUUCUAAGGUGAGCGAGCGAACUCUCGUUAAGGAACUCGGCAAAAUGACCCCGUAACUUCGGGAGAAGGGGUGCUCUUUAGGGUUAACGCCCAGAAGAGCCGCAGUGAAUAGGCCCAAGCGACUGUUUAUCAAAAACACAGGUCUCUGCUAAACCGUAAGGUGAUGUAUAGGGGCUGACGCCUGCCCGGUGCUGGAAGGUUAAGAGGAGUGGUUAGCUUCUGCGAAGCUACGAAUCGAAGCCCCAGUAAACGGCGGCCGUAACUAUAACGGUCCUAAGGUAGCGAAAUUCCUUGUCGGGUAAGUUCCGACCCGCACGAAAGGCGUAACGAUUUGGGCACUGUCUCAACGAGAGACUCGGUGAAAUCAUAGUACCUGUGAAGAUGCAGGUUACCCGCGACAGGACGGAAAGACCCCGUGGAGCUUUACUGUAGCCUGAUAUUGAAAUUCGGCACAGCUUGUACAGGAUAGGUAGGAGCCUUUGAAACGUGAGCGCUAGCUUACGUGGAGGCGCUGGUGGGAUACUACCCUAGCUGUGUUGGCUUUCUAACCCGCACCACUUA
RNAcentral lists this ribosomal RNA (730 nucleotides) under Staphylococcus aureus. RNAcentral's name for it is "partial 23S ribosomal RNA". It matches the Rfam family "Bacterial large subunit ribosomal RNA", at positions 1511 to 2238 of the family's 2925-position model. The record is from RNAcentral. Lineage: Bacteria; Bacillati; Bacillota; Bacilli; Caryophanales; Staphylococcaceae.